CAACGCUAGGAAACCAAACCCAUGAAACUCUCUCCAACUUACGCUACCUCGAGUUUGGGUGAAUUCUUCUUUGUUCAAGGCCCCUCAAAUUUGCCAAGGUUCCUGGCCAGCUGAGAAGUGACCUUGCUACCACCUGUGAGGCUGGGAUCCUGACAGCCAUAGAAAAAGACCAAGCCAGUUUUCCUGGAUCAGCUUGGUGGGCAUUGAUUCCACCUAGAAAGUACAACCUUGUUCCUUCAUGAGGAUCGAUUUACACCUGACUACCCAAGAACGAAUCUCGGGGUCUGCUCUUGGGACGGCAAAGUCAAGAGUAUCCGAGUGUCCUCUUCUCUGCAGUGACCAGAAGAAACCAUCAGUGGCCAGAGAGUGCUGCUAAAAAGAGAUUUCAGUGAAAAAGGGCAAUUCCUCAGGCUGGCUCUGACUCAACCCCAGCUGGGAAUAGGGAAGAUUCUUAG
Molecule: long non-coding RNA, 455 nt
Filed under: Equus caballus (horse)
Lineage: Eukaryota; Metazoa; Chordata; Mammalia; Perissodactyla; Equidae
Description: lncRNA (ENSECAG00000052618.1)
Source: RNAcentral